GUCCACAAUAGUUCAGUGGUAGAACAGCCCGCAACGCUGGAUAGUCAAAAGCGGACGGUCGGAGGUUCAAUUCCUUCUGUGGGCA
Molecule: non-coding RNA, 85 nt
Organism: Mycena crocata
Lineage: Eukaryota; Fungi; Basidiomycota; Agaricomycetes; Agaricales; Mycenaceae
Source: the annotation of a GenBank genome assembly